Long non-coding RNA from Felis catus (domestic cat), 692 nucleotides. RefSeq lists it as uncharacterized. The record is from RefSeq and is a predicted model, not a curated record. The transcript has 2 exons. Lineage: Eukaryota; Metazoa; Chordata; Mammalia; Carnivora; Felidae.
UCCAACUAUUUAUCUCCAUUAGGCUGUUCACCAAACAGGUCUCUCUGUUUUCUUGACCCAAAGUAGGAUUUAUCUUUUGUGUGAUGGGGUGGAGCCAGAAGACUUGCUCAGUUAAUAAAUUUUAAUCAGAAGUGAUGUGUCCUGUUAGGGCUGGAGCCUUUCACUGACAACGUCAGAUUCCUUAGAGCUCUUUUCUUUGACCCAGCAACCAGCAAUAUCCAUGGUGGUGGCUGGUCCCUCAGGUCUGAGCAGCGACAGUGAACAGAGCACCCCUGUGGCCAGGAUGGGCUUGUAUCAUUUGACCAAGAAUUGAACCAUGACUCUUCAGAUGCCAUGAUUCAGACCACAGCAUAACGCAGCACGUGCUGACAUAUGCACUGGGGUGCCAGACUUCGAUGCAUCAUUGGAUUAUGAAUCAAUUUGGUCCUAUUCUUCAAGGCCAUCUGUCAUAUCAUCCUACCAACAGGAGCCACAGCUUACCUGAUGUCGUCUGGAUAAGACACACAAGGAGGAGAAAGAGAAGGAACAGUAGCCUCAUGAUGGGAAAUUAACUCUUGGGAUUCUAAGAGGAACUCGCAAAGUCUGACGGUGUCUCUUCGGUGCACAUCAGUGGGGGCUGGUGACCUGGGGAAAGAGUAGAAAGCUCAGCUAGAGAGAAAAAGCUUCUAUUCCUAAUAAACAUGUCCCAUUAA